AGAGAGAGAGAGAGAGAUGAUAAAUCAAGCCUGGUCCCUAAAACCCGUGAGACCCAUAAACCCUUUUGGCUGCAUCAUUUCUGGUUCAAUCACCUUACCAAGUAAAAGACAAUACUUCGUCUUGCUUUCGAAUGAGACAACUCGAAACUGGCAUACACCUCAAUCUCAUCCUUUGCCCUGUAGUAUUGCCAUCUUAUCCCUGCUUAGCCAGAAACUCUUAAAACUUAGUAGAGAAAAUAAAAAUUCUAAAACUAUAUCUAUUUUUAAUUGUGGUCACUUAUUUUAAAUUUCUUAAUAGUCAUGAAUUUUAACAUCAAUGAAAAUUAUAGAAUGCAUAUACAUAAACUCUCGCUAAUUCAACCACUUGCACACACACACACACUUUUAGAAGAAAUUUAAGACAAAAUGAAAAAAACAAAAAAAGGCCAUUAACCUUUUUAAAAUCCCAGGCACAUAAGCGUGCAGUAUUGAUCAACAGGCAAUGAAAAUUUUGCUUGCAUGAUCACGUAUUUGAGGAACUAUCAGCUUAUAUUAUACCCAAAAAAAAAAAAGCAAUUUGUGCCCCCUCUCCUCUGUAUAUAUUCAAUAGACAGCGUUAAUCAUAAUAACUUGUUUUGUGAAUGAACAAUAAAACAUCUCCCCUUACCACUUACCCAGUUGCCAGCGUUCCAUUGAUAAGAGGGAGUGCAGAUGGGGAUAAAAGUGGUGUUGGGAGAAAAUUACAUAAUUAAAUGCAAAUAACAGGUGAAGCAUUAUUCUACUUCAUCUACCUAAUUCUCAUCUUUCAGUUAUCCAGAACUUACAGCCUCAUUUUGGUCGCCUUCGGUAAGGGUACAAAAUAUCAUCCAGGUUCUCUUUAAUGUAAUUCCCCAUUCUCCGCAUGUUCUUGGCCACCCCGGAUGCAACCAGGUUCGCAUUCCUUGUAUACCUGCUAAGGAAGUCAUCUCCUGCAGCAUGGACUGGUUUAGGCGUUUGAGGCUGAUGAAUUUCAAGGCCAUCUUCUCUACCAUGAACAUGAGCCGGAGCAGAUGCAUUAUCAGAAGUAACAACUCUUCUAUCCACUAGAAGCUGCAGAAACUCAUGUCAGUCAGAUUACAACUUUUUGUUAUUAAGAAACCAGGGAUAAAAUAGAAGACAAUAGCCAACAUGUCACUUGCCAGAGUUAACUUAAGAAUGAAGUUGCACCCUAAAGAAACCCUCAAAUUGCAACAAAAAUUUACAAACUCUAUAUGUCCAAAUCAUAACACCAUCUAUUAGAAGAAUAUAAUCACAUACAUCGCUUAUAGCCUUAGAAAAAUGCAGUUAAUAAUUUAAAUCAAAUACACCCAAUCAAUCCCCAGUCCCCACCUUACUCCAACCAACCACCAAGGGGAAGAAUGUCAAGUUCCUGAUAAAUGAUAAUAACAGGAAUAAUGGCAGCACCAAAGAAACAUAAAACUAUAAAUGACAAUAGGAGUGUAAGCAAAGUAGCUUAGUGGAGUUCAUGAACAGGCAAUAUAAAAGCUUACUUACAUUCAUUUAUAAACUCAAAUAAACAAGUUUACAAAAAGUUUGGGCUCAUUAAAUGAAUAGACAUAGAUAUAGGUGAGCUUGGAUUGAUUAUGUCCAUGUACAGGCUCACUUAUGUUUGUUUAGCUACACAUUUAAAACUUCAUGGUAAUCAAGUUUAAACUAUCGAAAAUUGUUAGCAUGCAAUAAAUUUAGUAGAAAGUUAUCAUUGAGUUAUAUUAAGUUACUAGAUUUUCAAAAUAAUAUGUCAUAUGAAUAAAAUAAAUUUUUAUGAUACAAAAUAUUUAAUUUAAAAAUACAGGUAAAUGAACAAGGAAAAAAGUAAAACUUUGUACUAUACGUUGACCAUAACUAAAAUGAGAAAAGCGUUGCUUCCUCUUAUUCAGAGGCCUCCUCCAUUUGCAAAUUGAGGCCAUAGACUUUUGAAAGUGAACACACUCAUACAGGGAAUUGCUAGUUUCAUAUUUAUUAAUAUCAAAAAUUGUACAAGAGAUAAUAACCAUUUUUGAAACAGGUAUUUGUUAAGGUUUAGACUCUAUUGGAAUAUUGCACUCGAUAACUUUUUAAUCAAACAAGCUUCAACAUUAAAAUUUGAGCUCAGUCAAAGCUUGAGAUUGCCUAAAGUUAAGUGAACCAAGUACAAACAUCUUGAUACCUGGUUUAGCUCAACUCAUUUACACCCUAGGUGACAAGCUGGUGCACUAUGUCCAUCAAACCAAGCAACGUUAGUAAAAACGUAAAAGCAUAUAUACACUACUAUAAAUCGAACCAUAAAUACUAAAAAGAAAAAAAGCACAUGCACACAUUGUGGACAUACAGAGAGAGUUGAAAAAGAUAAACCUCAAGGCCCACACAGACUGGCAGUUGUGUUUUUGCCGCUUGCUUUUGCUUAUCAGUAGAAUGAUCUUUGCUGACAUACACUGAAUACCCAAUGCAACCAUAAUAAAAAUCUGUAAGAGUCCGGCCUUCUUUAGAAGCUUUAUCCUCAGAUUGUCCAACAAUAUAAUUGGGAACUUGUUGGAGGGUACGAGGGAUGCCGAUGCAGCGAGGAUUGGUGUCGUUGGAUUUGAGAGUGGAAGAGUAAUAGAGAUAUCCUUUGCAUGAUUUACCUUUGGAACCUCCUUCUCCUCCAGCUUCUAUUUGAUUUUGGUUUUUUUCCGCUUUCUCGUCUCUUCCUCCUACUUGUUUAUUCCCAUCCAUGCCAGCCUUCUAAACCUCCCUCUCUCUCUCCCCUUGUAUAGCGCAAGAGGGCGCAAUGGUCUCUCUCUCUCUCUCUCU
RNAcentral lists this unclassified non-coding RNA (2787 nucleotides) under Hevea brasiliensis (rubber tree). Lineage: Eukaryota; Viridiplantae; Streptophyta; Magnoliopsida; Malpighiales; Euphorbiaceae. The record is from RNAcentral.